ACGGUAACAGGAAGCAGCUUGCUGCUUCGCUGACGAGUGGCGGACGGGUGAGUAAUGUCUGGGAAGCUGCCUGAUGGAGGGGGAUAACUACUGGAAACGGUAGCUAAUACCGCAUAAUGUCGCAAGACCAAAGAGGGGGACCUUCGGGCCUCUUGCCAUCGGAUGUGCCCAGAUGGGAUUAGCUUGUUGGUGGGGUAACGGCUCACCAAGGCGACGAUCCCUAGCUGGUCUGAGAGGAUGACCAGCCACACUGGAACUGAGACACGGUCCAGACUCCUACGGGAGGCAGCAGUGGGGAAUAUUGCACAAUGGGCGCAAGCCUGAUGCAGCCAUGCCGCGUGUAUGAAGAAGGCCUUCGGGUUGUAAAGUACUUUCAGCGGGGAGGAAGGGAGUAAAGUUAAUACCUUUGCUCAUUGACGUUACCCGCAGAAGAAGCACCGGCUAACUCCGUGCCAGCAGCCGCGGUAAUACGGAGGGUGCAAGCGUUAAUCGGAAUUACUGGGCGUAAAGCGCACGCAGGCGGUUUGUUAAGUCAGAUGUGAAAUCCCCGGGCUCAACCUGGGAACUGCAUCUGAUACUGGCAAGCUUGAGUCUCGUAGAGGGGGGUAGAAUUCCAGGUGUAGCGGUGAAAUGCGUAGAGAUCUGGAGGAAUACCGGUGGCGAAGGCGGCCCCCUGGACGAAGACUGACGCUCAGGUGCGAAAGCGUGGGGAGC
This 714-nucleotide ribosomal RNA is filed under the name uncultured Pseudomonadota bacterium. RNAcentral describes it as "bacterial SSU rRNA". It matches the Rfam family "Bacterial small subunit ribosomal RNA", at positions 66 to 769 of the family's 1533-position model. Lineage: Bacteria; Pseudomonadati; Pseudomonadota. The record is from RNAcentral.